GGGUCAGUUACAUAGGGACACCAGCAACUUCGUUUUUUACCAAAGAGAAACCUGAAGAAGCCCAGGAAGAAGGAAAUGACAUUUUAUGUUUGUCAUUGCUUGAUAAAAGGUAAGUUUCGGGGAGUAGGGCUUUGGUUGAGCCUUUGUCCUAUUGAGCUGCUGGCCACAUGCUCUCCUCCUCCAGGCCUCCGCAGUCUCCACAGUGGAAUGUGAAGUCUCCAGCCAGGAGCCAAGACAACCCCCGGUCCGGCAGAAGGUCCCUUCGCAAGGCCCCGCUGAAGACAGCCAACUGAGACCUGCGGGGAUAUCUGCCUUCCCCGUGUGUGUGCAAGGAGGAAAGAUGGUGUGGCCUGCACCCACACAGGAGAGACCCGCUGCGCCCUGCCAACUCCUGUCUAGGACACCAAUGCAACUUUGUGCAGCUUGUAUCUCUCCUUGUGUGCAUCAUCGUUGUUGAGAUUUGUAAAUAGAGACAUGAUGUAUUUAGACUUUCUCACAAUAACAUUAAGCUAUUUAAUACUGUGAUGUUCUAUUUGAGUAUCAAACCUUCUGUGGUAAGUUACACUCUGGUCUUUAAGGAACACGAUUUUAGAAACCAGCUUUCUUCUGUGUAACAUAAGUGUCUAUAGUUUGUGUGAAUUCAAUAUAAUAGAUAUGUCCCCUUAGCUAAUGGCAAAAUUUUGAAUAUUUUUCUAUUAUUUAUAAUUGCAAAUUUGUAUUAAAAGAGAUGUACAGUCUUUCUAAAACAAAUAAAGGUCAAAUAUAAAUGUAACCUA
This 776-nucleotide long non-coding RNA is filed under the name Rattus norvegicus (Norway rat). RNAcentral describes it as "long non-coding RNA NONRATT027529". Lineage: Eukaryota; Metazoa; Chordata; Mammalia; Rodentia; Muridae. The record is from RNAcentral.